GUGAAUUCAUCUCCGGGGGUAGAGCACUGUUUCGGCAAGGGGGUCAUCCCGACUUACCAACCCGAUGCAAACUGCGAAUACCGGAGAAUGUUAUCACGGGAGACACACGGCGGGUGCUAACGUCCGUCGUGAAGAGGGAAACAACCCAGACCGCCAGCUAAGGUCCCAAAGUCAUGGUUAAGUGGGAAACGAUGUGGGAAGGCCCAGACAGCCAGGAUGUUGGCUUAGAAGCAGCCAUCAUUUAAAGAAAGCGUAAUAGCUCACUGGUCGAGUCGGCCUGCGCGGAAGAUGUAACGGGGCUAAACCAUGCACCGAAGCUGCGGCAGCGACGCUUAUGCGUUGUUGGGUAGGGGAGCGUUCUGUAAGCCUGCGAAGGUGUACUGUGAGGUAUGCUGGAGGUAUCAGAAGUGCGAAUGCUGACAUAAGUAACGAUAAAGCGGGUGAAAAGCCCGCUCGCCGGAAGACCAAGGGUUCCUGUCCAACGUUAAUCGGGGCA
This 496-nucleotide ribosomal RNA is filed under the name Escherichia coli. Its description in RNAcentral is "partial 23S ribosomal RNA". It matches the Rfam family "Bacterial large subunit ribosomal RNA", at positions 884 to 1376 of the family's 2925-position model. Lineage: Bacteria; Pseudomonadati; Pseudomonadota; Gammaproteobacteria; Enterobacterales; Enterobacteriaceae. The record is from RNAcentral.